CCUGGUUGAUCCUGCCAGUAGUCAUAUGCUUGUCUCAAAGAUUAAGCCAUGCAUGUGUAAGUAUGAACAAAUUCAGACUGUGAAACUGCGAAUGGCUCAUUAAAUCAGUUACAGUUUGUUUGAAGGUAUUUGCUACUCGGAUAACCAUAGUAAUUCUAGAGCUAAUACGUGCAACAAACCCGAACUUCUAGAAGGGAUGCAUUUAUUAGAUAAAAGGUCGACGCAAACUUUACCCGUUGCUCUGAUGAUUCAUGAUAACUUGACGGAUCGCACGGCCUUUCUGCCGGUGACACAUCAUUCAAAUUUCUACCCUAUCAACUUUCGAUCGUAGGAUAGUGGCCUACUAUGGUGGUGAUGGGUGAUAGAGAAUUAGGGUUUGAUUUCGGAGAGGGAGUCUGAGAAAUGGCUACCACAUCCAAAGAAGGCAACAGGCGCGCAAAUUACCCAAUCCUGACACGGGGAGGUAGUGACAAUAAAUAAUAAUACCGGGCUCUAUGAGUCUGGUAAUUAGAAUGAGAACAAUCUAAAUCCCUUAACGAGGAUCUAUUAGAGGGCAAGUCUGGUUCCAGCAGUCAUGGUAAUUCCAGCUCCAAUAGCGUAUAUUUAAGUUGUUGCAGUUAAAAAGCUCGUAGUUAGACUUAGGGGUAAGUCGACCGGUCCGCCUCAUUGUGAGCAUCGGUCUGAUCGUCCCUAUUAGCGACGAUGCCCUCCUGGCCUUAAUUGGUCGGGUCGUUCCUAUUAGAGUUCUCAAGUAUGCCUACGCUUGUAUACAUUGGCCUUAAUUGUGUUGGCCUUCGGGAUUGGAGUAAUAAUUAAUAGGGACAGUUGGGGGCAUUCGUAUUUCAUAGUCAGAGGUGAAAUUCUUGGAUUUAUGAAAGACGAACAACUGCGAAAGCAUUUGUCAAGGAUGUUUUCAUUAAUCAAGAAUGAAAGUUUGGGGCUCGAAGACGAUCACAUACCAUCCUAGUCUCAACCAUAAACGAUGGUGAUCAGGGAUCGACGGAUGUUGCUUUUAGGACUCCGUCGGAACCUUAUGACAAAUCAAAGUCUUUGGGUUCCGGGGGAGUAUUCUCUUUCUCACAACUUUUCUCACACACUCUCUUUUUAUUUCUUAUCUUUUCCCUCAUUUCUUUUUUCUUCUCUCAAUCUCCUUUUAUUUUUCUUUCAUUUUCUUUCAUAAAAAUUUUCUCUCUCUCUUUUCUCAAUUUCUUUUUCUUCACAUUUCACUUUUUUUUAUCAAAUGUGGUUAAAUGACAGAAUCCGAACGAAUGAACUUUCUUUGCGUAUGAACACAAAUGAUUGUCAAGGAAGGCACAUCUUUCCUUUCUUGGUUGCAAAUUCAUAGAUGGAUACCCUGGAACGCAUGAGGUAACAUUUGUGUAAUUAUUACGUGUACUUUCAUCUUUUCACUUGGGAGUUUUCAAACUUGUGGUCCACUUUACUUUAGCUUGAA
This 1453-nucleotide ribosomal RNA is filed under the name Gossypioides kirkii. Its description in RNAcentral is "SSU rRNA". The stretch from base 2 to 1060 matches the Rfam family "Eukaryotic small subunit ribosomal RNA", at positions 4 to 1116 of the family's 1831-position model. The record is from RNAcentral. Lineage: Eukaryota; Viridiplantae; Streptophyta; Magnoliopsida; Malvales; Malvaceae.